UUACAUACAGUCAUAGUGGACUUGCAAUCGUUAGUCACAUUUAAUGCAUGCACGUGCUUCGUUCUGCCACAAACUCUUUGUAUAGUUGAAGGUUAUGCAUUCCUUCUGCAUUAACCUUUUCGCUCUCAGUUUCUUUCAUUUGGUUUUCUUCAUCUACGGUCUAGCAGCUAUUCUAAUGCUUUAGAGAUGUUUCUCUUCUCUCUUGCGCCUUUCUGUUAGCUCUUUAUUUUCUAUUGGCUUUCCCUGAUCCCUGUGUCAAAUUCUUAGCUUCGCGCCGGCUUUAAUCAGGUACGUCCUUGUUUUUCUUUACUGCAUUUCCUGGUUGACCUUUUCCUCGUUUGCUCUUAGUUAAUCUGCAGUUACUUAUUUUCUUUUCUUGUGGUUGAAGUUAUGUUUCUAUCAUUUUUUUCCUCCCGAUUAAUUACCUAAGAAUAUCUGUUUUGUUUCCAUGAUUUUUGUGAAAAAACUCAGUACUUCGCGCAGAAUCAUUUUUCUUUGUUGCAGCUUUUUAGUCUGCAUUAACUCUGAAUUUUUUUACGUUAGCUGACUCCAUAAACUAUUAACAAAUUUAAAAAAUCUCCUUACUUUUCCCAUUUUGGUGUAUUUUGCUCAUGCUCACUGUGUGUGCCUUUUCCAUGAUCAUACCAGUUCAUUUAGUGCACCCAAGUUUUCCACGAUCCUAUUAGCUGUUUAUUAUUCAGGUAAAGCAAUCCUUUCUUCGCUUAAUUGCUUCUCCUUUGCUUACUGCUCAGUCUAUUCUGCCUUGUUCUAUUUGAUUUUGCAUACCAUGUUUGUUAUCUCUUUGCCUAUUGAAUAGCGAUCAUCUAUAUAUAAAAAAGGCACAUGCUUUUUGCUUUCAUAUUCAUGAUCUGCGAAAUUUCCAGAGACUUUUACAUAGUAUGGGCACCCCGCGACAGCCGCGGGGUCGAAUGCCUAGUACAAUUUGAAAGGGUUAACUUAACCUCCAAUAUCAGGCUCCAUUUUGCACUUUGGUUCUCAUAAUUCAUUUAAUUAGCUAUUUAGACCUCAAUAAUAGGUCAAAAAACAUUUGCUUCUAAGAAUUGUGCAAAGGAUCACAUUUUUAGCCCUUAAACAGUUAAACGUUACUAAAACAUUUUAGCCCUUUAAGAAUUGGGCAAAAAAAAUCACCAAAAACAUUUUCCCCUCUAAGAAUUGGGCAAAAAACAUUUUUAGCCCUUAAAUUCUUUGACUGCAAGUUUCAUUUAAAUGCCACAAUAGUUAACGGUCAACUUUGUCGUUGAAAGGAAAGAAAUUUAAUUUCUUAUAUAAAAGAUUAGAACUAGGCUGUGUUAACAAACAUUACAAAAUAAAGGAUUAAUAACACUUUGCUCCCCUGAAUUUAGGAGAUUGUCACACUUUACCUUUCUCAACCUUAAAUAUAUAUGUAUAUAUAUAUAUAUAUAUAUAUAUAUAUAUAUACUUUAUUCCCAUAAAGACUAGUCAAAGUUAAAAAUAAAAAAAAUUGAGUGAAAUAACAUUAUUUCCCUUUUAUUCAUGAAAUUAUUUAUAACUUAAUAUCAUUUCCUUUCAUUGCCAAAAGAUUUAUAACUUCUUUAUCAUAUCAUUAUUAAAAAAAUCAAAUGAAAAAAAGUUAAAGAAGGUUAAUAUUUAGUUUAUAUCCUUGACAUUUUUCCUGUUGGAUUAAUGUUUACUUCUAUAUAUGUUUUGUUCAAUUUAUUAGACUUUAAGUCAAACAAAAUUAAUAAAUAACAUAAUACUAAAAAUAAGUGUAAUUAUCAAAAUUUAUAUGAAAAGGUAAUAUCAAACUCAUUUUUCUAAAACAAAUUUUUAUUAUUUUAAUUUAUUUAAACUUCUAGACUAAUAUUGUUGUCAUUUUUCUAUUUAUUAAAUUAGUCCAAUAUGAAAUUCGUAAUCAAAUUUGCUAAAAAUGGUUGAUAUACCUCAGUUUUAAACAUAAAGAAGGAAAAUGGAGAAUAAAUGAAAUUUUAUUUUCUUGACAAGAAAAGGCAAUAAUAGUAAACUAUAAAUACAUCAAUAGAACAUGACAAUAGUUUGAGCCUAAAAUUUCACAUAAACUAAAAUAAUAAAAAACUACAUUUUUAAACAAAAAAAGUUUAGUAUUACCUCUUUUUGAAAAAGAAAUUUGGUAUUUGUGUUUAUUUAGUAUUGUGAUAUUUAUUCUUUUUUAUUUGACUUAAAUUAUAAUAAAUUGAAUAAAGAAUAUAUAAAUGUGAAUGCUAACCACUGAUAGAAAAAAUUUUAAGGAUAUAAACUAAAUUUAAACAUUAUUUAACUUUUUUUAGUUUGAUAUUGUUGUAAGUUGAUAUGAUAGAGAAGAUGUAUACUUUUUUAGCAACCAAAGGAAAUAAUACUAAGUUAUAGAUAAUUUUAUGAAUAAAUGGGCAAUAAUCAUUAUACUCACCUUUUUGUAUUUUUAAUUUUGACUAAUUGUCAUAGGGGUAAAGUAUAUGAUAAGCGCAGGAUGUGCUUGUAAGAAUAAUCUAUUUGCUACGCCGCAAGUUUUAAAUUUAUAAAUUUCUAAAUAUCCCGUAUACUUCUACAAGUUUACAAGUCUCGUUUGAAUAUAAGGUAUUAAGAGUCGUCGAUUCCAUAAGAAAGAUUGAUCAACUAUCGACACUAUUCAAACUUCUUUAUUAUUUAUUAUCAACAAAUUGGAGAAAAGUAAAACUAUGCUAGAAAAUAAUAACGGAAAGGUCCUCAAGUCAAGGUAUCUCUAACUACUCAAGCAAAUGCAAUUCUUAGACAAUUGAGCACUACUAUCUCGACUAGUUAUGGUGUAAUUUCUUAAGAUAUGUGAAACCCGCUUUCACCAGUAAAUCAAUUGUACUUAUAGCUAAUCCAUACCCACUUUCAUGGACAUAAAGUUAGCUAUAGAUUCAUUUACUUCUAUGAAAUCACAUGGAAUAAUAUCACAAAAGGUACAAAGGUGCAUCUCUACUUUCAUUAGUGUACUCCUUAAAUUUAGUAAUUUCUUAAACUAGUGUUAAACUCCAAAUUGUUGUUGCAAUUCAACACCUUGUGAUUAUCAUAAUUAAUGGCCAGUUGAUCAUAAUUAUAUAAGCAAAAGUAUUAAAUAACAUGCUUAAAAUAAUUGUUGGGCUUGGAUUUUAUUGGUGGGAUAAAACCGAAAUCCAACAAUAAUAGUAUCAAAUAACCAAGUAAUCAACACAAAGCAAUCAUAAAAAAUUCAACCAAGGCAUAAACUUUAAAAUAACAUCAUAAACAUAAGAUUCGUGAAUUGCCAAACAAUAGAAUCCAAGCCAGCAAAAAGUGAAAACAACAACAAAAUUAUACAGACAGAAUGAGAUAAAGGGAAACAAAGGGCAAAACAACCUAACAACGAAGCCUAGCGUCUGCCUGAAGGAAUCAAGAUCUCACUCUUCAUAAUGAUUUCUUCUUCUCUGAAAAAGCAUGGUUCAUCUUCAUCAAUUCUUCCCAUUCUUCCUACACUAACACUAUAACAUCUAAACAAAUCAUCAAAAGCAUCCACCUUGCUAUUUCUCUGACAUAAUCCUCCCUUAUCAGAAUUAUUAUCCUCAUUGGUCUUGGAAUUCAUCAAUCGAUGAAGCUCCUUCCAUUUCUCAUCAUUUUUCAUAGCGUUCUUCAAACUUGCUCCAAAAUAUUUUGGCAUGUGGGAUACCCGGGGAGCAGGCAUGGCCAUCAUCAUGUUGCUACCAUAGACAACCCUUCCAUCGAAUUCAAUCAUGCUUUUAACGUAAAAAUCUCUAGCCUUGGCUAGAAAUCUCUUUGGUGCGGCAAUGUAUCGCCUUAGCUUACUUUGCCUACCCUCUUUGCUUCUCAUCUAGCUUAGUAUUUUCUUGUAGGAACUUAAAGAGCAAGAGAAAGAAGUUUUUGGUACGGUGUGGGGAGGGAGGUAAAAUAGUUUAUAUAGAUUGAUUUCAUUGUUUUGACUAUUGACAUGUUUGGUUGGUUUGAAAGAGAAUUCACAAAUGCUUGUUUGGAAUUAUCAGAAGUGAAGAAGAUACUUUGAAGAAUAUAGAAACAUACGGGAAAUGGAAUUUUUCGGGUCAUAGUUGCUGAUUGGCUGUUUUUGGCUUUGCAAAGUUUAUUUUAGUCUUCGUGUUGUCAUACAACAAUUAAAAGCUUUCGUACAGUGAAUAUGUUUUACACAUUUAAUAUAAUCUAAUUAACAAUCAAGAAUUUAAAGUUCUAUCCUAGGAGAAUUGGGUUCUCAGAUUUUUUCUUCUCAUUUUCAACUGAAAAAUAAAUAACGAAUGAAUUCUUUAUGACUUUAUGUCUUAUGUGAUUUUUUAGGUAGUUAUUUUUCCCGUUUUGUUUGAAUUAAUAUUAUGAUGAACAAAUGAAAUUCUUUUGCCUCAAAGAGAUUGUUCUCAUAUUUUGGGGUUAUGACCAAAAGAGCCAAAAAAAUGGAUAUAGUCCGGAAUAUUUUGUACAAUUAGAAUUACUGGGAGACAACAAAAGCAAAAGACUAUAAAAUACUAGUAAAAUAUAGUUGGCUGCCAAAAGCUGCAUUUGACUAUUGCUUUCUCUACUUUCAUGCCCAUUCUUUACCAUUAGACCUUCUCUUCUCGGAAAAUGAUGAUAUCAAAGUUCUUUGAAUGAUGCCCAGCUUUGGCAUUUUCCUACUCCAUACUUGGAUCUUUUACACUUAAGGUAAUUAAUGGAGGAUUUCAUAAUAAUCAUCUAGUUAUAUUCUUAUCAAAAAACAAUUUUUUAAUUGUAAUCCAUUAUCAUGUGACUGGUAUCAGUGAUACAUGAUGAGAUAAUUGUAACCGAACCAAUAAGAUUUACACCUUCAAAGUCUUGUGGUGACAAUUGGUUUGUGCCUUGCACUUUCAAUUCUCAUAACUUAGUAGCUAGCUAAAUUUCAAUACCGUUUUCUAUUUAACCAAGUUGGUAAUUAAUUAAACUCGAUCCUUCGGUUUGAAUUGUAUAAUCGAAAAAUAAUUGAUAAACAUUAAUGAGUUAGGUCAUUGCAUCAAGUAUUUUUGGAAUUAAUUAAUAUACUGCUCAAGAAAGCAACUUAAAAGCAUUUGUAAAAAUUGCAUGCAGAUAGAAAAUUUCAAGCAGAAACCUAUAAAAAAAAAAAUUGCACAUCUGGGAACUGAAAUCAAGUCAAUUUCCUAGCAGAAUAAGCCAAAACCAAGAAAUUAAGUUUCAACCUAGAUAGUUGUAUAAGCUAUUGUGUCAAUACCCAAAAUUUGUAGUUUAAAUUUAAAUUUAGAUGAUGUGGCAUUCAUCUAACUUCCCAAAUGUAUAUAUUGUCGGUAUAGGAAAUAUUAAUGGGUGGGGUUAAAUCCACACCCCUCUAGUCUAAAUCCACACCUUUUACACCAAAAUGUCUAUAAAGCCUAUAUUAUUUAUCAGGAUUUCAUAGGAACUUUUUCAAUACCAAAAUUAACCUUUUGUGGUGAGAAAAGUUGGCGCCAAUUAAGUUUAUUUUUUCCCCACUCAAUUGCGUCCUUUCAUCAUUCCUAUUCCUUACCUUCUGAUAUUCACGAACUAUAACAACAACUAUUAUCAUCAGCUAGAGAACUUCAAGCUUCUAGUUCCAAGUGAAUAUGAAAUCAUUGCCAUGAUCAUCAUUUGUUUUUUUAUUAUCAAUAGAUAUUUGAAAAUCAACUAUCACUCUUCAAUUUUGAUCCUGAAAUUUUUGUUUUUUUUAUUAUCAAUAGUAUUUUUCUGGUAAAUUUUUGCUAUGCUUUGGUAUAUUUUAGUUGAUGAUGAUAGUUGCUACUAUAAGUUUUCAGUAUUGGAAGCUAAGGACAGGGGACGAUAAAAUGAUGCAGUAAAGUGGGGGGAAAAAAUGAACUUGAUUGGCUCCAUCUUUUUCCACCACAAAAGAUUAGUUUUGGUAUUGAAGAUGUUCCU
This 5856-nucleotide long non-coding RNA is filed under the name Coffea arabica (coffee). RNAcentral describes it as "long non-coding RNA (CARA_LNC006534)". Lineage: Eukaryota; Viridiplantae; Streptophyta; Magnoliopsida; Gentianales; Rubiaceae. The record is from RNAcentral.